CUGAGCAGACUUUUGUUGCUGCUCUCUCUCUCUCUGACUCUCUCUGACUCUCUCUCCCUCUCUCUCUCUCUCUCUCGCAAUGUUAUUUUCCCCUCCUCUAGUAGUGAGUGUGUGGAGAGAUUUUUUUUUUGCUAUGGAAGAGCAAGAGGAGGUGCAGAUUUCAUCUAGAGCAAAAUAGAACAAGGGGGAAGUAAAGAAAAUAAGAAGAAGAAGAAGAAGAAGAAAAAGAGAGGAAAAAGAGAGAAAGACUUCACCCCAUCUGCCUCUCUUCCUCUCCCUCAUUCCCUCCUCUGCCAACGACUUUCACCUCAGAAAUAGCGGAGGGACCAACUUCUAAAGGCAGUCAGGAAGGAGCUGGAGUGUGAAAUCUGAGAAGAGAAGCAAGAUGAGAGGCUGACCGGCGCUGUGUUUGCUAUGCUGUCCAGGAGCUGCCAGACUGGAACAUACAGAUGACACCUGGCAGAGAUCUUGAUAAUGGAGGACUCUGCUGCUGAGGACUUGGGCCUGUGAGAGGAUGUGGAAAAGGUAAGGCAAUUACCUUUACCAAAAUCUCCCUGGUGAAGUCCACCUUGACAGCGCGCACCAGAACCACCAAGAUGUAGGCGUUCAACCUUGAAAGUAGAGAAUUCAUUGAUUUUAAAAACUGGCUCCUUCAAACAUGUGAAAAUCAAUGGCUUUCUUACUUCAAUUGAACCACCCACACAUCUUUCCAAUCAAAGGUUGGUUUCAUAAAGAUAUGGGUCAAUGACGUAUAAGGAUUUUCAACAGGCCAAAUUUAAAACACAAAAAAAUAGCAUAUCUAUUGCAAUUGUUCAAACAUUCUGAAUGUUGUGCACACAGAAAUUAAAAUAAAAAAUGAAAUGAAGCGUUUUUAGUGUUUUUUUCACCUAUAUGAAUCGGCCAUGGCCUUAAAAAACGUCAUGUGGUGCGACCGCGAUUUAUCUUAAAAUUAGUUAUUUUCCAUAAUGUGCUUAACUUUUUUUUUACAAGUUCUCAGUAAUUUAAAGUGUUUAGAAACAAGUAUUUAAAUUUCUUUUGAUAUUUUGUCAAUAAUGAUUUCAUAUUUUUGUUCCAUAAUGUUACAGUCCCGUUCUUCAUUGUGCUGACACCACUAUAGUUCUUCUAAAUUUCAUUACACUGAUUUAAAAAAAUAAAAUCUACCAGUCACCUAAGUAUACUGUAUCAGUGAUUAAUAUUCCAGCUACAGAAACUAGAUAUUAAAUUUUGAAUUCAAUACAGUUACUGCUUUUAUUGGUCGCACCACAUGAUGAGUGGUCGCACCAAAUGACAUGAAGAUAUUAUAUAAUAAAUAAAGGUCAAUAAACAGCUCAAUAAACAAUACUUUUAAUA
Molecule: long non-coding RNA, 1350 nt
Organism: Centropristis striata (black sea bass)
Lineage: Eukaryota; Metazoa; Chordata; Actinopteri; Perciformes; Serranidae
Exons: 3
Source: RefSeq, a predicted model, not a curated record